CGGACAGUGUCUGGUGGGUAGUUUGACUGGGGCGGUCUCCUCCUAAAGAGUAACGGAGGAGCACGAAGGUUGGCUAAUCCUGGUCGGACAUCAGGAGGUUAGUGCAAUGGCAUAAGCCAGCUUGACUGCGAGCGUGACGGCGCGAGCAGGUGCGAAAGCAGGUCAUAGUGAUCCGGUGGUUCUGAAUGGAAGGGCCAUCGCUCAACGGAUAAAAGGUACUCCGGGGAUAACAGGCUGAUACCGCCCAAGAGUUCAUAUCGACGGCGGUGUUUGGCACCUCGAUGUCGGCUCAUCACAUCCUGGGGCUGAAGUAGGUCCCAAGGGUAUGGCUGUUCGCCAUUUAAAGUGGUACGCGAGCUGGGUUUAGAACGUCGUGAGACAGUUCGGUCCCUAUCUGCCGUGGGCGCUGGAGAACUGAGGGGGGCUGCUCCUAGUACGAGAGGACCGGAGUGGACGCAUCACUGGUGUUCGGGUUGUCAUGCCAAUGGCACUGCCCGGUAGCUAAAUGCGGAAGAGAUAAGUGCUGAAAGC
Molecule: ribosomal RNA, 531 nt
Filed under: Salmonella enterica
Lineage: Bacteria; Pseudomonadati; Pseudomonadota; Gammaproteobacteria; Enterobacterales; Enterobacteriaceae
Also listed under: 1 other name
Description: partial 23S ribosomal RNA
Rfam family: Bacterial large subunit ribosomal RNA
Source: RNAcentral